AGGUGUUCUUGGUCUCAUCAAACAAUACUUACUGUGAUGUCCCAACAGAUUACAAUGGUGGAAAAUCUGGUGCUUUGUUGAAAUACACCCCACUUCCUAAGCCACCAGCAGCUACUUCUCUCCCUGUUAAACUCCCCACAUUUGAUGUCUUCACUGUUGGACCUUUUGGUUUCGAACCCUCAAAGAAGGUGCCAUGCAAAAAGUAACUUGCAUGGGAAAUUAGAAAGAUAGGAAGGAAAAAUUAAUUAUGUGUUGAAGAAAGACGAUUAUGUACCUGUUUCCUGUGUUCUUGUUAUUAUUUUAUUAAUAAAUGAAGCAAAGAGGAAAGAACGUAGUUUUCUUGUUUUCCUAUUUUGUUUCUCUCUAUCAAAACCCAACAAGUAAAAUGGAUUUAUAAGUUUUUCUUCUAUGUUUG
RNAcentral lists this long non-coding RNA (415 nucleotides) under Nicotiana tabacum (common tobacco). RNAcentral describes it as "long non-coding RNA (NTAB_LNC014493)". Lineage: Eukaryota; Viridiplantae; Streptophyta; Magnoliopsida; Solanales; Solanaceae. The record is from RNAcentral.